This 377-nucleotide ribosomal RNA is filed under the name uncultured Methanolinea sp. RNAcentral's name for it is "bacterial SSU rRNA". It matches the Rfam family "Archaeal small subunit ribosomal RNA", at positions 960 to 1338 of the family's 1478-position model. Lineage: Archaea; Methanobacteriati; Methanobacteriota; Methanomicrobia; Methanomicrobiales; Methanoregulaceae. The record is from RNAcentral.
UGAAGACUCUGCUUGACUAGCUGAGAGGAGUGCAUGGCCGUCGUCAGUUCGUACUGUGAAGCAUCCUGUUAAGUCAGGCAACGAGCGAGACCCACGCCAACAGUUGCCAGCAUGUCCUCCGGGAUGAUGGGGACACUGUUGGGACCGCUCUGCUAAAGAGGAGGAAGGAAUGGGCAACGGUAGGUCAGCAUGCCCCGAAUUAUCCGGGCUACACGCGGGCUACAAUGGUCAGGACAAUGGGUAUCGACACCGAGAGGUGGAGGCAAUCUCCUAAACCUGUCCUUAGUUCGGAUUGUGGGCUGCAACUCGCCCACAUGAAGCUGGAAUCCGUAGUAAUCGCGUUUCAAAAUAGCGCGGUGAAUAUGUCCCUGCUCCUU